UACGUAGGGCGCAAGCGUUGUCCGGAAUCACUGGGCGUAAAGCGCACGUAGGCGGACUCUUAAGCCGGUGGUGAAAUCCUGGAGCUCAACUCCAGAACUGCCUUCGAUACUGAGAGUCUCGAGUCCGGGAGAGGUGAGUGGAACUGCGAGUGUAGAGGUGAAAUUCGUAGAUAUUCGCAAGAACACCAGUGGCGAAGGCGGCUCACUGGCCCGGUACUGACGCUGAGGUGCGAAAGCGUGGGGAGCAAACAGG
This 253-nucleotide ribosomal RNA is filed under the name uncultured bacterium. RNAcentral describes it as "partial 16S ribosomal RNA". It matches the Rfam family "Bacterial small subunit ribosomal RNA", at positions 524 to 776 of the family's 1533-position model. The record is from RNAcentral.